GUUUUUUAAUUUAUAUAUCCUUGUUUUUUUGGUUAUAUGUUUAGAUUGUGAGACGGUAAAAUUUUUAAAAAAU
This 73-nucleotide small RNA is filed under the name Arabidopsis thaliana (thale cress). RNAcentral describes it as "ATSL158400". The record is from RNAcentral. Lineage: Eukaryota; Viridiplantae; Streptophyta; Magnoliopsida; Brassicales; Brassicaceae.